RNAcentral lists this ribosomal RNA (387 nucleotides) under uncultured bacterium. RNAcentral describes it as "bacterial SSU rRNA". It matches the Rfam family "Bacterial small subunit ribosomal RNA", at positions 917 to 1322 of the family's 1533-position model. The record is from RNAcentral.
GGACCCGCACAAGUAGUGGAGCAUGUGGUUUAAUUCGAAGAUACGCGCAGAACCUUACCAACACUUGACAUGUUCGUCGCGACUCUGAGAGAUCAGAGUUUUCGGUUCGGCCGGACGAAACACAGGUGCUGCAUGGCUGUCGUCAGCUCGUGUCGUGAGAUGUUCGGUUAAGUCCGGCAACGAGCGCAACCCACAUCCCUAGUUGCCAGCAGUUCGGCUGGGCACUCUAUGGAAACUGCCCGUGAUAAGCGGGAGGAAGGUGUGGAUGACGUCAAGUCCUCAUGGCCCUUACGGGUUGGGCUACACACGUGCUACAAUGGUAGUGACAAUGGGUUAAUCCCAAAAAGCUAUCUCAGUUCGGAUUGUCGUCUGCAACUCGACGGCAUG